GGAAUGGAGAGCCCAGGAAAAGAGACAUACUGUAUUUCAGACUCAUCAAGGAGUCAUUUUCCCAUCCAAAUAUCUCAUCAAGUAGCCAGCCUUUUUGUAGAUUCUUGCCAUCUGACUUUGUUUCAGUGGGUGACUUUCCAUUGGCCACGUUCAUGAGUCUUCACUCACCUAUCUAACCUAGGACCUGAGUCAAGUAAACUGGUUCCAUUAACAAA
Molecule: long non-coding RNA, 215 nt
Filed under: Rhinopithecus bieti (black snub-nosed monkey)
Lineage: Eukaryota; Metazoa; Chordata; Mammalia; Primates; Cercopithecidae
Description: lncRNA (ENSRBIG00000046784.1)
Source: RNAcentral